This 257-nucleotide long non-coding RNA is filed under the name Gossypium barbadense (sea-island cotton). RNAcentral's name for it is "long non-coding RNA (GBAR_LNC003140)". The record is from RNAcentral. Lineage: Eukaryota; Viridiplantae; Streptophyta; Magnoliopsida; Malvales; Malvaceae.
UGAUAAAAGGCUUAAUAAUUAGCCUAUUUCUGGCCACACGGCCUGAGCACAUGGGCGUGUGAAGCCUUAACGCAAGAGAUUUUUUUAAGUUUUUCAUGAGUUCUCGAUUGGGUCCCGAACCACUCCAGAUGUAUGUUUUGGGCCUCGUAAGCCCGUAUAUGGGACAGAUUGUAUGUGAAAAGAAAAGUUUUUAACUAUUUGAGAUUUCAUGGCCCUGUUUAGUAUGAAAGUGUUAGUAAAAGUUAGGUAGCACCUCG